Molecule: long non-coding RNA, 242 nt
Filed under: Elaeis guineensis (African oil palm)
Lineage: Eukaryota; Viridiplantae; Streptophyta; Magnoliopsida; Arecales; Arecaceae
Description: long non-coding RNA (EGUI_LNC024544)
Source: RNAcentral
AAUUUUCUAAUGAUUAAGGCUGUCUUCAUCAUCAUCUUUCUCUUCCAAUGAUUCCUCAUCAUCCUCAUCUUCUGCCACAGAUUUGAGGACAAUGAGUUUCUACCUUUUGACCACCUCAUCAUGUACUACUUCAUUGCUAGCUCAUGUGUUAUUAGCGAUCUGAUUAGCUUCUUAAAUGGUAGAUUGUUAAGGCCUUUUACUUCUUGGAUGAUGGUCAAUUUGGCUUUUCAUAUCCUUGGCAG